CAAACGGUUCAUUUGACUACAAAUACAAAGUGAGGGCGACUUAAUCGUUUGGAGCAAGCUUAAUCGUCUUCCUCUUCGCAUCAACUUUUCCAAGAUCUUAAUUGUUUUCCUCCAAGAAUAAAUUAGAUUGAUUUCGAGAAAUUGGUGAUUGCGGGAAGAAGACGAUGAUGUUGGAGGGCAAGCUUCAUGGCCGUUUUCCUUCUCAUGCUCUCCAUUUUUUUCUUCAGUUAUCUAUUCUACAAACCCACAUUAUUCCUACUCAUAAUUUCCAUCCGAUGAUCAAUUGCACUGUUCAUCUAAUCCCACCUAGCGUGCUGCUUCCCUUCUUGAUCAAACGCUUCACUUGUCUCAGUAGCUUCUCGUCUUCCGUCUUUGUUACUUGAAACCGAAACCUCUCACCCCCAAUAUCAACUUCUCUGAAGCGAACACUUGAAAUAUUCUGUCGUCUGAUCUCAGCAAAUCAAACGUCCAGAAUCUCGAAACAAAGCAGACAAAUCAAGAAUGAUGUUCUUCGUGGUUUUCCCAUAUAAUAGUGUAUUCAUCGACAUCUCUGCUUUCACCCAAAUCGACACCUUUCUCCUGCUCCUGCGCAGGCGAUGGCCACAGUGGACAGAGGGUUUCUUUUUUUAGUCUGAUUCCACUAUUUGUUUCCUAAAUUCACAAUCUUGAGGACCUGUCAUCACAUGUUAUGGGAAAGAAAGAGAAGAAAUUUUGUUUAUAUUCAGUUCUGGUGAUGGAACUACUCAUGGAAGAAGACACACUCUGAACCACAAUUCUCAGGGAGUAUCAUCAUUGCUCUCACACACAAAGAACAAAAGCUUUUCUGUAUAUGAAUGAAUAAUGAUUCAGUCAAAAGUAGCAAAAUAAACCAGAAAACAGCUGAUGGAUGAAAUAGUUGGAGAAACUUAUGAGAAGUGCAAGGGUGCUUCCAAUGGUAGUGGAUAAGGCAAGGGUAUUAAAGAAAUAGUUUCAAGCAACAAUGACACUUGUUUUGAAGAUAAGAAACUCUCAAUACCAUGGUUUGAAUAAUGCUGGUGGAUCCCUUGAACAUGCCUUCAUUGAGAAGCUUCUGUUAUGGGUGUUUUAUGAAUGUCCAAAAGGUUUUAUUCAAGGUCAUUGAUUUUGCUCCUAACUGCUACAAUCCACCUGAGUCGCUUGUUGACCGUUUUAACUGGUGUCUACGCUAUUUAUAUUUAAUGACUGGUUUUCCACUAUUCACAGUGGAAGUGGACAGAGGGUUUCUCUUUGCCAGUUUAAUUCCACCAUUUGUUUCCCAAUUUCAGAAUGUUGAGUUUGUGUUUGUAGGAGCUGUCAUCACAUGUUAUGGGAAAGACAGAGAAGAAAAUUUCUUUUACCAAAUAAUAUUCAUAUUAAUUCUAAGUGGGGAUCCAGAAAUAGCAAAAUACUUUCAUUUCUUAUUCCAGAUCAGGGACCUGUCACAUGUUAUGGAAAAGUCAGAGAAGAAAUUUUGUUUAUAUUUACUGCUGCUGUUAUACUUUUUCAGCAAGAUGCCAAGGAGUUGGUUCACGUUAUGAGAUGUUGGCAGAAUUGUCGAGGAGAGAGGGAGAUGCAAACAUAAAACCUGAUCCGGAUAUCGAUGUCUUCAUGAAGGCUGCUGCUACUGAAGGUUAAGAAGGUAGCGUAGUCACAGAUUAUACUCUCAAGCUAUUGGGAUUUGGAACAUCUCAUCUCUUUUGAAGGACAGGGUUAGGAAGAUUGAAGGAAACCCUGAUUUCUGUUGCUUCAUCUCUCAACAAAAUACUGUAAAUCAAGGUGAAUUACCACAUAUAUUAUAUAUUAUAUAUUAUAUACCAGGUUUGUUGUGUAUAGAUGUUUUUGUUUUGAGAGUAUUUCACUAUCUGUUUUGCUGAUGCGUUUUAUUUUGGUGGAUAACAUGCUGCAUGCUGCUCCACUUCAUUUCCCUGCUUCAUCUCUCAACAAAAAACUGUAAAUCAAGGUGAACUACCACAUAUUAUUUACCAGAUAUUGUUCAAGAAUCUUGAUUUGGACAUGAAGGCAGUUACUCCUUUUCUCUGCUGUUCCUUUGGUUGAAGAUAUGAAUAUGCUUUUUAUUUUUUCUGUUUUCAUUGCAACUGCCAACUAGAUAAUUAAAAACUGUUUGCUGAAAAACUUAUUGAUCCUUUACUUUUGCAGGGUGCUUCCAAUGGUAAUGGAUAAGGCAAGGGUAUUAAAGAUAUAUAUAUUGUCCAGAAGAGUGUUUCACUAGCAAUAAUGGCACUUGUUUUAAAGAUAAUUAAGAAACUCUCAAUACCAUGGUUUGAAUAAUGCAAGUGAAUCCCUUAAACAUGCCAUGCAACGUGUUAUUGAUGACAACCUUGAGUUGGGAUGUGCAUCAAUUGAGAAGCUUCUGUUAUGGGUGUUUUAUGAAUGUCCAAAAGCUAUGGUUUUAACUAUUAUAUCAACACAGGGGCAACAACAUAAUCUUUUAUCUCUCUUGUUGAAACACUGAAGAUGAGUGAUGCAAGAGUAGUAUUCUCUGCUCUUCACAAUGUCAUUCAGACUUUAUCCAAUUGCUAGAAUCCACCUGAUUCGCUUGUUGACCGGUUUAACUGGUAACUUUUUGGUGACAUGGUGUAUGGUUGGUAUGCAUUUGAUGACGUGUCAAAUACAUGCCAUGCCACCUCACCAAAACUUACCGGUUGGUUAAACUGGGAAUAGAGCAUUUUUUCAGUGGAACCAAAACUCAAUGAAUAAGUGUCCAUGCCAUUUAAUGACUGGUUUUCCACUUUUCACAGCGGAAGUGGACAGAUGGUUUCUCUUUGCCAGUUUAAUUCCACCAUUUGUUUCUCAAUUUCAGAAUGUUGAGGAUGUUGCCACCUGAAACCAUGGUGGGCCCCUUCAAACCCCAACCUCAUCUGGAAACCAACAUCUCCAAAAGUUAAUUUCUUGAAACCAAUUACAUCAAUAUUUAUCCGAAUAUAUAGAAACCAAUUUUGAUAAGACUUGUUAGUUUUAUAUUCAAGAAAAAAGAUUGCACUAUUGCAUUGUGUUUUCAGUUUUUCCUUUAUUAAAGUUAUGCUUCCAGAACUCUUAUUUAUUACAACAUUUUAAUUUAGAAAAGUUUAUCCAUUACAUUGAUUAUGUACGGCUUUUGACUUAUGUUUUGUGGUAUGUGUUUGUAUGAGCUGUCAUCACAUGUUAUGGGAAAGACAGAGAAGAAAUUUUCUUUUACCAAUUAUAUUCAUAUUAAGUCCAAGUGGGGAUCCAGAAAUAGUAAAUUGCUUUCAUUUCAUACUCCAGCUAAUCGAACGUCCAGAAUCUUGAAGCAAAGCAGAGAAAUAACGAGUGAUUUUCAUCCUCUUUUUUCUUCGACAUGUCUGCUUUCACCCAAAUCG
Molecule: non-coding RNA, 3356 nt
Organism: Lactuca sativa (garden lettuce)
Lineage: Eukaryota; Viridiplantae; Streptophyta; Magnoliopsida; Asterales; Asteraceae
Source: RefSeq, a predicted model, not a curated record